GUGUCAGCAGCCGCGGUAAGACGAACCGUGCAAACGUUGUUCGGAAUCACUGGGCUUAAAGGGCGCGUAGGCGGUCGGUCAAGUCCGGGGUGAAAUCCUGCAGCUCAACUGUAGAAGUGCCUUGGAUACUGACUGGCUCGAGGGAGGUAGGGGUCUGUGGAACUUCUGGUGGAGCGGUGAAAUGCGUUGAUAUCAGAAGGAACGCCGGUGGCGAAAGCGACAGACUGGACCUUUUCUAACGCUGAGGCGCGAAAGCUAGGGGAGCAAACGGGAUUAGAAACCCCGGUAGUCC
RNAcentral lists this ribosomal RNA (292 nucleotides) under uncultured bacterium. RNAcentral's name for it is "partial 16S ribosomal RNA". It matches the Rfam family "Bacterial small subunit ribosomal RNA", at positions 505 to 796 of the family's 1533-position model. The record is from RNAcentral.